Molecule: ribosomal RNA, 460 nt
Filed under: uncultured bacterium
Lineage: Bacteria
Description: partial 16S ribosomal RNA
Rfam family: Bacterial small subunit ribosomal RNA
Source: RNAcentral
CCUACGGGCGGCAGCAGUGAGGAAUCUUGGUCAAUGGACGCAAGUCUGAACCAGCCAUGCCGCGUGCAGGAAGACGGCUCUAUGAGUUGUAAACUGCUUUUGUACGAGGGUAAACGCAGAUACGCGUAUCUGUCUGAAAGUAUCCUACGAAUAAGGAUCGGCUAACUCCGUGCCAGCAGCCGCGGUAAUACUGAGGAUUCAAGCGUUAUCCGGAGUUAUUGGGUUUAAAGGGUGUGUAGGGGGUCGGAUAAGUUAGAGGUGAAAUCCCGAGGCUCAACUUCGGAAUUGCCUCUGAUACUGUGCGGCUAGAGAGUAGUGGCGGUAGGCGGAAUGUAUGGUGUAGCGGUGAAAUGCUUAGAGAUCAUACAGAACACCGAUUGCGAAGGCAGCUUACCAAGCUACUUCUGACGUUGAGGCACGAAAGCGUGGGGAGCAAACAGGAUUAGAUACCCCAGUAGUC